RNAcentral lists this ribosomal RNA (2283 nucleotides) under Triticum aestivum (bread wheat). RNAcentral describes it as "partial small subunit ribosomal RNA". The record is from RNAcentral. Lineage: Eukaryota; Viridiplantae; Streptophyta; Magnoliopsida; Poales; Poaceae.
AUGGAUGUGGAGGGCGCCACCGUGCAGCCGAGGAAGAAGACUUCCUGGGGAUGGCAAAAAGGAACGCUUCUGCUGGCGUACCAGAGCUUCGGCGUCGUUUACGGCGACCUUUGCAUAUCACCCGUCUACGUGUACAAGAACACCUUCUCCGGGAAGUUGCGUCUCCACGAGGAGGAUGAAGAGAUCCUCGGCGUGCUAUCGUUGGUUUUCUGGAGCCUCACCCUCGUACCGCUCCUCAAGUACAUCAUCCUCGUCCUCGGCGCAGACGACAACGGAGAAGGUGGCACGUUCGCACUGUACUCCCUGAUGUGCAGGCGCUCCAGGAUGGGGCUUCUCAACAGCUUGCACGCCGGCCACGGCUCCGUGUCGUCCUACAACCAGGACGAGCCCUGCAAGGAGACGCGGAGCAGCCUGGCCAUCAGAGGGUUCUUCGAGAAGCACCACUCGCUGCGCGUCGUGCUGCUGCUGUUCGUCCUCAUGGGCACCAGCAUGGUCAUCGGCGACGGCGUCCUCACCCCGACCAUGUCAGUGCUGUCAGCAGUCUCCGGCCUCAGGAUCAAGUUCCCGGAGCUACAUGAAAAUUACACGGUGCUGCUCGCGUGCGUCGUGCUGGUGGGGCUCUUCGCGCUGCAGCACUACGGGACGCGCCGCGUCGGGUUCCUCUUCGCGCCGAUCCUGCUCUCCUGGCUCGCCUGCAUCGGCGGCAUCGGGAUCUACAACAUUUUCAGGUGGAACCCGACCGUCGUCCGCGCGCUGUCCCCGUACUACAUAUACAACUUCUUCAGGAAGGCCGGCAGGGACGGGUGGAGCUCGCUGGGAGGGAUCGUGCUCUGCAUCACAGGUGCUGAAGCAAUGUUUGCUGACCUCGGGCAUUUCUCGAAGCUUUCACUGAGGCUCGGGUUCACGAUAGUUGUGUAUCCUUGCUUAGUUCUGGCCUACAUGGGGGAGGCCGCCUACCUGUCGAAACAUAGGGAGGAUCUCCAGAGCAGCUUUUACAAAGCUCUUCCAGACCGUGUGUUCUGGCCUGUUCUGUUCAUCGCGACACUGGCCACCGCCGUCGGGAGCCAAGCGAUCAUCUCCGCCACGUUCUCCAUCAUAAGCCAGUGCAGGGCCCUGGGCUGCUUCCCGCGCAUCAAGGUGGUGCACACGUCCAGCCAUGUCCACGGCCAGAUCUACAUCCCGGAGGUGAACUGGACGCUCAUGUCCCUCUGCCUCGCCGUCACCAUCGGCUUCCGAGACACCGAGAUGAUCGGCAACGCCUACGGGCUGGCCGUGAUCUUGGUGAUGUUCGCGACGACGUGCCUGAUGUUCCUGGUGAUCACCACGGUGUGGAACCGGUCGGUGCUGUGGGCGGCGCUCUUCGCCGCCGGCUUCGGGUCCAUGGAGCUGCUCUACCUCUCCGCGUGCCUGGCCAAGGUGCCCCACGGCGGCUGGCUGCCGCUGCUGCUCUCCCUGGCCACGCUGCUGGUCAUGUCGGCGUGGCACUACGGCACGGCCAAGAAGCAGGAGUACGAGCUGCAGAACAAGGUGUGCCUGGACCACUUCAUCGGCCUCAGCUCCGGCAUGGGCCUCGUGCGCGUCCCCGGGGUCGGGUUCGUCUACUCGGACUCCGUCGCCGGCGUGCCGCCCAUGUUCGCGCACUUCGUCACCAACUUCCCGGCGUUCCACCGUGUGCUCGUCUUCGUGUCGCUGCAGACGCUGACCGUGCCCAAGGUGCCGCCGGAGGAGCGGUUCCUGGUGGGCCGGAUCGGGCGGCCGGAGCACCGGAUGUUCCGCUGCGUGGUCCGGUACGGGUACAAGGAGGGCCGGUGGGACCACUUCAACUUCGAGGACCAGCUGCUGGUGAAGGUCCUGGAGUUCCUCCAGCUGCAGCAGGCGGACGGCGACGGCGAGCGGUGCAGCACCGGGUCCGGCGAGAUGUCGGUCAUCCCGGCCGCGCCCAGCCAGGCCGUCGUGGACGCGCUGGCGUCGAUGAGCUCCGGCGAGAUCGAGUACUACGCCGGCGGCGGCGCCAAGAAGGUGCGGUUCGAGGAGCUGCCGGCGGCGUGGAGGCGGGAGGAGACGAUGUCGGAGGUGAGGGAGCUGCUGGAGGAGCGGGAGGCCGGGGUGUCGUACAUGAUCGGGCACACCUGCGUGUUAGCGCACGAGUCGUCGUCCGCGGUGAAGAAGUUCGCCGUCAACGUCGUGUACGGGUUCCUCCGGCGCAACUCGCGGAGGCCCGCCGUCGUGCUCGGCAUCCCCCACACCUCCCUCAUCGAGGUCGGCAUGGUUUACAGGGUGUGA